This 4555-nucleotide long non-coding RNA is filed under the name Sus scrofa (pig). Its description in RNAcentral is "lncRNA (ENSSSCG00000056346.1)". The record is from RNAcentral. Lineage: Eukaryota; Metazoa; Chordata; Mammalia; Artiodactyla; Suidae.
UGCUACUCAUAUAUAAAGAAAAUUUCAGUCAUGAGGAAAUGUUUCCAAAUCACCAAGGAAUGCUGUAAUAUAGUAUAAGGUAAUGAGUAUAAUGAUAAAAUCCCUGCUUCAUCACAUACCAACUGUGUGACUUAAACAUGUAACUUAAGUUUCAUCUUAGAUUAAUUUCAUAGAGUUUCAUUUUUAUCUUUGAGUUUAUAGAUUUUUUUUCUGGCUAGAAUAUAAAUUGCCUCCCUUUUAUUUAUUGAAAAUUCCUACAUAUAGUUAAAGUAGGCAUAGUAAAUGGAUACUGACAAUAUAAUCUGAAAAAAUAAUAAGAAGCCAUAAAACAAUUUGUCCUAAAAUAAAGCGCAUGUGUCAAAGGCUUGAGAGUAAUGAGAGAAGAUUUUAAGAAGGAAGUGUCACUUAGGCUGGGUGAAACACUGAGGAGUGGUCACAAGGAAGAAGCUUUCUGUUUAGACAAAUACAUAUGGAAUAGGAAAUGGUGGGAUUAGUAAAAGGAAAGAGAUUUUUGCUCUUCAUAGAAUCAUGGGAUAGAAAAACACUAGAGGAAAUGAAAUAGAAAUAUUGUUUAAUCCAAAACUGUGGGUUCUAGUUUAACAAGAUUGACUUUUGUCCUGUGGGUAUAAACAUGUUUCUUAAGAAGGUGGACAUAAUCGGAGUUAUACUUGAGGAAAAUUUAUUUUAUAGUGGUGAGUAAGAUGAGUAGAAUUGCCCAAAAAUGUGUAUAUGACUUUCUCUCUCUUGCUUGCUCUUGCUCUCAUUUUUUUAACUUUCAGCAUACUGCUAUCCCCAAAUUUUCUUCAUGACAAUGCUGGCAGUCAGUACCACACCCCAUUUCCUAUCACACACACCCGCAAACACCAAAUUAGUUACCAAUUCUCGAUAUUUCUUCUUAUGAAUAAACUGCCUCAGGUACCUUGCUUAUGCUUAUACAUUGUCGUUGGGAUUAACGACAAUCACUGUGAUUUGAGCUGUAACUAUCUUCUUCCAGGAUUAACAUGCUCCUAAUUAAUCUCCCUAUUUACACUACUGACCCUCCAGAGUUGGGCCCAGACAAGAGACCUUCUGCUCUAUGUCUUUCAAGCUAAUAAGACAAGAUCAAGUUCAGGUUCCGAAACAAAGGAAAGCUUUACUCUUUGAUCAAAGAACAGACAGGUGUGACCCCAGGCCCUAAAGCACAGGUUCUGCCUGAGCAACUGGAGGCAGGGCUGCUUUAAGGGAUCUGUCAAUGGGCGGGGGGUGGAGUUCUCACAAGCAGGUGCCUCUGUGCUGCUCCAGCUCCAGAUCACAGUGCCUGGUGCAACAGCUCUGCGCAUGCCCGGCCCUGCCGCCAUCUUGAAUUGAGUACCGUGCUUCUUGUUUCCUCACGCUGCCCCACGAAGCUGGGGGGUCAGCAGGACCAUUUGACACCUGGAACUCUGGUCUAAAGUGCCAGAUUCGAGGCCUCUACACGCGGCGCCAUAUGAGCGGGUCAAAUUAGUCUGAGCGCAAAGGAAAAAAGGUUAGACUUUAUCUUAUUACCCAGAUUGUAUUUUUAUUGCCACAGAAUUGUAAAUGGGUUUUGCCUGUGACAAAUCCCUCUGUCUUUUUUCCUGCCUCUCAUUCUCAGGGGGUGUUGAUGGGGUGCAUGCAAAUCUUCUGGAAUUACUUCUUGUUGAUUUGGAGCAUUGUCAUAACCCGGCUAAAAGAGUAGAACGUCUCCACCUGCCCUUUGUUAUGCAUGGUUAUUGCCAGGUGUCAGCCCUAUUCAUAUGCCUAAGCCAUAACCAUUCGUCUCAUCUUUUGGAGACAAAGGCCAUAUUAACACAUGCCCAUGUUAGCCAGAGAAUAAAGGUCAUAUAAUUUUCUUUUUCCUGAAAAUGAAGUUGUCUAGGUCUGAUGCCUGUGGGCAAAAGUGUGCCCUGAUGUUGAGGCUCUGCUGUGACCUGAAUAUCCCUGCGUUGCUUAUUUUUUGGAAGAGAAGCUUCAAGGCAAAGAGAGGUUCACAUGAGUGGGCUAGGGGGUCCACUGCCUCUAGUUGUCUCUCCCAGGGUUGUAGUACCCCCAAGUGAUCUCCUGCUACUUCAGAGCAGAAGGGGUGUUUAGACCCCCCCCCACACACACACACCCACGUGGGGUCUGUUCAACUUAAGAGAAUGCCUGACUUUGCAGGCUCCUGGUUUCCGAGGUUUUUUAGGCGCACCUAGUCUCCUGGCCAGAUGGAGUGAAAGGCCAGGUCCAUGGGUGUGGGCAGCAUUGGGUUACCAUAUUCUGUUAGAGCUUUCAUGGUUUCUUCUACCUGGAAGGCAUAUUGAGUUGUUCGAUUUCAAAGAGGUUAGUGUGUCUGCUUCACUUGGGCUUCGGGAAUGGGUCUAUCUUGCAGAAGUUCAAAUGCACUUAACUGUAAUUUAUCCCUUGGAGCUAACUACAUGCAGAAAAGGCAAUUAGAAGAAACUUAAUCCAAUUUUCUUGGGUUUCCUAACAAAGUUUGGCUGAGGCUUGUGUCGGGGUCUAAUUGGAUCUAUUUUUCCCAGUGAUUGGACUCUCCAGGCUGAGUGCAAGGUCCUUUUUAUGCCCAAGGCACUGAUUAUCCCCUUCAUCACUUGAGACACAAAUUCUGGGUCUUUAUCACUUUGUAGAAAUCCUGGGAGUGCAAACCUGGGGAUUAUUUUUCUCAAUAAUGCCUUAGCUACUUCAGCUGCCGUUGCAGUUGUAGCAGGGAAUGAUUCAGUCUACACAGAAAAUGUCUACUAAAGCAAGAAAUAACUGAAAUCGCAUGGUGUUGUUUUAAGAAAUACAUCUGGCAAUCUUCUCCAGGAGAUGGAAGAUAUAGAGAUAUAGGAUAUGUCGCUCUAUUCUGAAUGGCAUUAUUUAGAGACCUCUAGGGAGUCUGGUGUUGAAGCUGUUCAUUGUGCAGAUGGGGCAUGUUUCAACUGUCUUAUUAUACUUUUCAUGUUGGGAGUUGCCAUGGCCUCAAGUAACCAGUUAUGUAGGGCUUCCUUCCUGUAGUAAAUUCUUUGAUAAGCCUCCCUGAUAGCUUGACAAGCUGCAGUUUGGGGAAAGAAGUAUUGCCCACGUCCAUUAGCUAGCCACCCAUAGCCUCCUAAAUCUAUAUCAAAGCCCCAUUUUCUGUAUAUGUCUAAUUCUUCCUGUGUGCACAUCGGGGAAUAAUUGGGUGGAUAUGAGGAGGGGUAGUUGCCAAGUUACUGGUUCUAGGGCUACCCUUUUGGAAGUUGCAUCUGCCUUGUUUAUACUUCUUUAUCUUCCUUUUGAUGACCCCUAUAAGAAAUCACUGCCGUAGUUUUCUGGAAGUUGUACUGCUUCAAAGAACUUCAGUAUGCUUUAAGCCAUGUUUCACCUAUUAAUUCUCCUCAGUAAACAUACCUUUUUCCUUCCAUAUAGAGAUGUGUGUGUGUGUGUGUGUGUAUAUGUAUAGAAUGGCAUAUGCAUACUAGGAAUCUGUGUAAACAUUUAAGGUCUUCCCUGUCCCAGGCUCUAAGGUUCAUGUGAGGUCUGUUGGCUCCACCUUUGUGAAGAAGUCCCUGAGUGUAGGCUUCUUGCUUCUGUAAUUUGUGUCUGGGAGGUUACCAUGUACCCUACCAGGCUUUUUCCCUCUCUCAUAAACUUGAUCCCAUCUGUGAACCAUUCCUCUUCAGUGUUUGGGAGAGGGUCACUUCCUAGGUCAGAGCAACUGGAGUAGAGCAUGUCUGUGGUUUUUACACAAUCUUGCUUCGGGGGUCUUAUUUCUCAGGGCAGUAAGGUGGCAGGAUUUAGUGUGUGGUAGGUUUUUAUGGUAGUCAGUGAGUUGUGUAGAUGCAUAGCCUGAACUUGAAUCAACCUUCAAGGGGAUGGCCAUUCAUUAGUAGAACUAACUAAACCUGAACUUCUUGUAAAGUCUGUGUGGUGAUUGGCUGACUAAAUAUUAACUUUUUAGCCUCCUUUAUCAGGUUGUAAGGUAGGCCAUCCCUUAGCAGUUUGAUCUAAUUCUUUAGAGAAAGAAACAACCACUGAGGAAGGGGGUCUCAGUUUUUGAGCUAAUAUAUACCAAGGUCAUUUACCCUUCUUUCAUGAAAGUGAAAGUUAAAAGGGUUUAGCUAAAUCUGGGAAGGCCAGAGCAGAGGUCUAAAGUAAUUGCUUUUUCAGUUCUUGAAAGGCCCCUGGUUAGUUAGGCCUAAUGGCCCCAUGAAUGCCCAUUCUUGGGCCUUCCCUUCUACCUCUGUAGUUUUACAACUCUUGUGACCAGGUUUGCUUGAUCUGGUGUUCAGAAACUAAUAAGUGGCACUAGUGUCAACUAAGAAUUUAACAGGUUUGCCCUCAUGUCCAGUGUCAGCCAGGGCUUCUUGCGGGAAGGUACAGCAGUCUUGCUCAUGGUAUUCUUUAUCACAGUGCCAGGUGCAGCAUUUCUACACAUAGGUACACUGUCACCACCUUGAAUCAAGGUAUUGUGUGCACUUCUGCACACAGCCUACCAAGCUGAAGUGUCAGGUGCAUUCAUUUUUCACUAGGCAUGCUGGUCUGCAGCGCCAGGUGCCAAUCAUUUGUAGGUAGCACCCUAUGAGCCAGUGAAACUAAG